RNAcentral lists this ribosomal RNA (757 nucleotides) under Enterobacter cloacae. RNAcentral describes it as "bacterial SSU rRNA". It matches the Rfam family "Bacterial small subunit ribosomal RNA", at positions 801 to 1533 of the family's 1533-position model. Lineage: Bacteria; Pseudomonadati; Pseudomonadota; Gammaproteobacteria; Enterobacterales; Enterobacteriaceae. The record is from RNAcentral.
CAGCGACAAUGUCGAUUUGGAGGUUGUGCCCUUGAGGCGUGGCUUCCGGAGCUAACGCGUUAAAUCGACCGCCUGGGGAGUACGGCCGCAAGGUUAAAACUCAAAUGAAUUGACGGGGGCCCGCACAAGCGGUGGAGCAUGUGGUUUAAUUCGAUGCAACGCGAAGAACCUUACCUGGUCUUGACAUCCACAGAACUUUCCAGAGAUGGAUUGGUGCCUUCGGGAACUGUGAGACAGGUGCUGCAUGGCUGUCGUCAGCUCGUGUUGUGAAAUGUUGGGUUAAGUCCCGCAACGAGCGCAACCCUUAUCCUUUGUUGCCAGCGGUCAGGCCGGGAACUCAAAGGAGACUGCCAGUGAUAAACUGGAGGAAGGUGGGGAUGACGUCAAGUCAUCAUGGCCCUUACGACCAGGGCUACACACGUGCUACAAUGGCGCAUACAAAGAGAAGCGACCUCGCGAGAGCAAGCGGACCUCAUAAAGUGCGUCGUAGUCCGGAUUGGAGUCUGCAACUCGACUCCAUGAAGUCGGAAUCGCUAGUAAUCGUAGAUCAGAAUGCUACGGUGAAUACGUUCCCGGGCCUUGUACACACCGCCCGUCACACCAUGGGAGUGGGUUGCAAAAGAAGUAGGUAGCUUAACCUUCGGGAGGGCGCUUACCACUUUGUGAUUCAUGACUGGGGUGAAGUCGUAAAAGGGUAACCAAACGGGGACGACAACCGGUCUUUCGGGAUGCUCCACGGUUGGUCCGAGGGGGGCCC